CAACCAUCAAGCCCUAGGCUUGCGUUGGAGCCCUGCGGCCGCCGCAGCCUCCCAAAACCAGUGGCGGGCUCGCUAUCACACCGAGUGCAGUAGUUUACUCUUCGCUCAGGGCGUGUGGCGGGUGCUAGCCGUAAACCCCCUACUUCUUA
Molecule: unclassified non-coding RNA, 149 nt
Filed under: Podospora intestinacea
Lineage: Eukaryota; Fungi; Ascomycota; Sordariomycetes; Sordariales; Podosporaceae
Description: partial internal transcribed spacer 2
Source: RNAcentral